RNAcentral lists this unclassified non-coding RNA (347 nucleotides) under soil metagenome. Its description in RNAcentral is "partial contains 5.8S ribosomal RNA, internal transcribed spacer 2, and large subunit ribosomal RNA". The stretch from base 1 to 120 matches the Rfam family "5.8S ribosomal RNA", at positions 35 to 154 of the family's 154-position model. The record is from RNAcentral.
GAUGAAGAACGUAGCGAAAUGCGAAAAGUAAUGUGAAUUGCAGAAUUCAGUGAACCAUCGAAUCUUUGAACGCACAUUGCGCCCGCUGGAACUCCGGCGGGCACGCCUGUCCGAGCGUCAUUUCAACCCUCAGGCCCCCCUUCGCGGGCGGGCCUGGUGUUGGGGCCCGGCCGCUACCCUGCGGCCGUCCCCUAAAUCCAGUGGCGGCCUCGCCGUGAUCCCUUGCGUAGUAAUGCACCUCGCACCGGAGAGCGCCGUGGCCACGCCGUAAAACCCACAAUUUUCAAUGGUUGACCUCGGAUCAGGUGGGAAUACCCGCUGAACUUAAGCAUAUCAAUAGCGGAGGA